This 320-nucleotide ribosomal RNA is filed under the name uncultured eukaryote. Its description in RNAcentral is "partial 18S ribosomal RNA". It matches the Rfam family "Eukaryotic small subunit ribosomal RNA", at positions 1470 to 1796 of the family's 1831-position model. The record is from RNAcentral.
CCCCUAGAUGUUCUGGGCCGCACGCGCGCUACACUGAACAGUUCAACAAGUCUUAACCUUGGCCGAUAGGUCUGGGUAAUCUUUGAACGCUGUUCGUGAUUGGGAUAGACCUUUGCAAUUAUGGGUCUUCAACGAGGAAUUCCUAGUAAACGCAAGUCAUCAGCUUGCAUUGAUUACGUCCCUGCCCUUUGUACACACCGCCCGUCGCACCUACCGAUUGAAUGGUCCGGUGAAAUCUCGGGACGGCGGCUUGGUCGCUUGCGUCCGACUGCUGAAACUUGAUUAAACCAUAUCAUUUAAAGGAAGGUGAAGUCGUAACA